UCGUGACUGCGUGCCUUUUGAAGAAUGAGCCUGCGAGUUUGCGGUGUGUUGCGAGGUUAACCCGUGUGGGGAAGCCGUAGCGAAAGCGAGUCCGAACAGGGCGGUGUAGUAGCACGCUCAAGACCCGAAGCGGAGUGAUCUAGCCAUGGGCAGGUUGAAGCGGCUGUAAGAGGUCGUGGAGGACCGAACCCACCAGGGUUGAAAACCUGGGGGAUGACCUGUGGUUAGGGGUGAAAGGCCAAUCAAACUCCGUGAUAGCUGGUUCUCCCCGAAAUGCAUUUAGGUGCAGCGUCGUGUGUUUCUUGCCGGAGGUAGAGCACUGGAUAGGCGAUGGGCCUUACCGGGUUACUGACCUUAGCCAAACUCCGAAUGCCGGUAAGUGAGAGCACGGCAGUGAGACUGUGGGGGAUAAGCUCCAUGGUCGAGAGGGAAACAGCCCAGAGCAUCGACUAAGGCCCCUAAGCGUACGCUAAGUGGGAAAGGAUGUGGAGUCGCAGAGACAACCAGGAGGUUGGCUUAGAAGCAGCCACCCUUGAAAGAGUGCGUAAUAGCUCACUGGUCUAGUGAUUCCGCGCCGACAAUGUAGCGGGGCUCAAGCGUACCGCCGAAGUCGUGUCAUUGCAGC
Molecule: ribosomal RNA, 625 nt
Filed under: Streptomyces sp. SID4945
Lineage: Bacteria; Bacillati; Actinomycetota; Actinomycetes; Kitasatosporales; Streptomycetaceae
Description: partial 23S ribosomal RNA
Rfam family: Bacterial large subunit ribosomal RNA
Source: RNAcentral